Molecule: non-coding RNA, 89 nt
Organism: Aspergillus puulaauensis
Lineage: Eukaryota; Fungi; Ascomycota; Eurotiomycetes; Eurotiales; Aspergillaceae
Source: the annotation of a RefSeq genome assembly
GCCAGUUUGGUGUAAUUGGUAACACGCCUCUUGGGUGCGACUUGCCGAAAGGGCCAGAGGAGUUACAGGUUCGAGUCCUGGCGCUGGCG